ACGGAUUGAGCCAUAGCAGCGGUUUUGCUCCUCGUGCGCUUGCUUCCAACCAUGGUUGUUUGGAAGGCUUCGGUGGAUUGGAAAAUAGGAGGAACGGAUUCCUUGAGCACGCGUUGAGUAUAACUCGUGCUCUCAAUGAAAGCACCAAAUGUUUGUGCAAAUAAUCUCACAGGAGAAUAUUCGCUUCUAGAUCCUUCAACCUUCGAUCUUCC
This 212-nucleotide long non-coding RNA is filed under the name Prunus persica (peach). RNAcentral's name for it is "long non-coding RNA (PPER_LNC003224)". Lineage: Eukaryota; Viridiplantae; Streptophyta; Magnoliopsida; Rosales; Rosaceae. The record is from RNAcentral.